Molecule: ribosomal RNA, 253 nt
Filed under: uncultured bacterium
Lineage: Bacteria
Description: partial 16S ribosomal RNA
Rfam family: Bacterial small subunit ribosomal RNA
Source: RNAcentral
UACGAAGGGUGCAAACGUUGCUCGGAAUCAUUGGGCGUAAAGCGCACGUAGGCGGCCUCAUAAGUCGGAUGUGAAAUCCCUCGGCUCAACCGAGGACGUGCAUACGAAACUGCGAGGCUCGAGUAUGGAAGAGGGUCGCGGAAUUCCCGGUGUAGAGGUGAAAUUCGUAGAUAUCGGGAGGAACACCAGUGGCGAAGGCGGCGACCUGGGCCAAUACUGACGCUGAGGUGCGAAAGCGUGGGGAGCGAACAGG